Molecule: ribosomal RNA, 380 nt
Filed under: Salmonella enterica
Lineage: Bacteria; Pseudomonadati; Pseudomonadota; Gammaproteobacteria; Enterobacterales; Enterobacteriaceae
Description: bacterial SSU rRNA
Rfam family: Bacterial small subunit ribosomal RNA
Source: RNAcentral
AAAUUGAAGAGUUUGAUCAUGGCUCAGAUUGAACGCUGGCGGCAGGCCUAACACAUGCAAGUCGAACGGUAACAGGAAGCAGCUUGCUGCUUCGCUGACGAGUGGCGGACGGGUGAGUAAUGUCUGGGAAACUGCCUGAUGGAGGGGGAUAACUACUGGAAACGGUGGCUAAUACCGCAUAACGUCGCAAGACCAAAGAGGGGGACCUUCGGGCCUCUUGCCAUCAGAUGUGCCCAGAUGGGAUUAGCUAGUUGGUGAGGUAACGGCUCACCAAGGCGACGAUCCCUAGCUGGUCUGAGAGGAUGACCAGCCACACUGGAACUGAGACACGGUCCAGACUCCUACGGGAGGCAGCAGUGGGGAAUAUUGCACAAUGGGCG